This 497-nucleotide ribosomal RNA is filed under the name uncultured bacterium. RNAcentral's name for it is "partial 16S ribosomal RNA". It matches the Rfam family "Bacterial small subunit ribosomal RNA", at positions 28 to 507 of the family's 1533-position model. The record is from RNAcentral.
GAUGAACGCUGGCGGCGUGCCUAAUACAUGCAAGUCGAGCGAACGGACGAGAAGCUUGCUUCUCUGAUGUUAGCGGCGGACGGGUGAGUAACACGUGGAGAACCUACCUAUAAGACUGGGAUAACUUCGGGAAACCGGAGCUAAUACCGGAUAAUAUUUUGAACCGCAUGGUUCAAAAGUGAAAGACGGUCUUGCUGUCACUUAUAGAUGGAUCCGCGCUGCAUUAGCUAGUUGGUAAGGUAACGGCUUACCAAGGCAACGAUGCAUAGCCGACCUGAGAGGGUGAUCGCCCACACUGGAACUGAGACACGCCCCAGACUCCUACGGGAGGCAGCAGUAGGGAAUCUUCCGCAUUGGGCGAAAGCCUGACGGAGCAACGCCGCGUGAUUGAUGAAGGUUUUCGGAUCGUAAACCUCUGUUAUUAGGGAAGACCAUAUGUGUAAGUAACUGUGCACAUCUUGACGGUACCUAAUCAGAAAGCCACGGCUAACUACGUG